Long non-coding RNA from Astatotilapia calliptera (eastern happy), 1719 nucleotides. The record is from Ensembl. Lineage: Eukaryota; Metazoa; Chordata; Actinopteri; Cichliformes; Cichlidae.
ACAGCCUCUCUCUCAGACAUGAGGGGAAGUGAGAGUGGAGCGUGUGGUCAGCGCUGCUCGGCAGCAUCAGCCCUGUGACAGGAACGUCUCCACACUGCGUCCGUGUCUCACAGUCACAAACAGCUGUGCACAGCUGUGCUCUGUCUUCAGGGUCGGAGGUCAGAGUUAGCAUCAUGCUAUCAGCUCUGUGGAUUUAUGGGAAUCAGCUGAUCGAGACUGAGGUUUGAACACAGCUGGAUCUGUGUGUGUUUGAAAUGUGUUGAUAGUAAAAGCACUGCAGUGAUGAUGGGACGACCUUCUCCGGAUCCCUCAAAGCUCAGCCCAACAUCUAGAACAUCUGGGCUCUGCUGUUCGAUCAGGUCCAGCUGCAGAGCUGCUGAUGACGACUGUCUCUGAGACACGUCUCCUUCAUCCCUGUAACCGUGGAAACCUGAACUCAUGUCAAACUGAGAGCAGAGAGUCGGCCACACUGAUGUUACCGACGCGUUCUAAAGGUUCUUUAAAGAACGCAGAACAAAUGAGACAUCGUGUCAUCACAGCAUCAGUGAUCCCUGCAGGAAACCAGCACAGAGGCGGAUCCAGACAGGAAGCAGUUAAAGACACCCUGAAGGACUUCGGCAAAGGGUUAAUGUUCAGGAAGAGAAGAAGAAGAAGCUCCCUGACGUCGUGUUCACGUUUCAUCUACGUUACUUUCUUUCUUUAGUUUCUAGCUCUGUAGUCUCUUUCUCCUCAGUGACCACAGCACUUCCAGCCUUGUUCAUUAUAUUUUAUCAUGGUGCCCUUGUACACAGCCCCACAGUGUUUCCUGUAACUCAAACUUCUUAUAUUGGUUUCUACACUUUUGCAUCUUUGUUGUUUUGCUACCUAAUUUUGCCGUGAAAGCAACUGCACAAUGACAACACUUAAGUUUAUACUUUUAUUGAUUCACAGUUUGUCAGUCCAGUUUCUAGUUGACUGUUUCAGUUGAAAUGUUUGCAUUUAAUUAUUUAUUAGUUGACAUAAUAAAGUCUGACUCUUCUUUAUAACCAUGUACAGGGUGUUUAGUCCAAAGCAGAAUUAAUAAACGCUGUCGGUCAUGUGGACGUCCGUUUGUCAGACAGAUGAAGUUGAACCUGCUCAGACUCACAGUGCUGUCACACUUCAUCACAGGCUCCUGCUAUCCGAUCUUAUUAGAUUGUAGUUCCUUCUGUAAAAACUCCAAAUGAUUCCAGUUUCCUAAACUCUGGUUUCUGUCUGAAGUGUCUGAGUGUGCUGACGGUGGCGUGAAGGCUGGUGUUAGUCGUGAGGAUCGUUUCCUCACACAGACUCUGAGCCUCUCUGAGAACAUGCCCAACUCCUCCAAACAGCCACAGGAGUACAUGAAGAAGAAGAAGAGAUGAUGGAGGUCCUACCUGUGAGAGUCAGAGGGUGUCAAAGAGCAGGUGAGCUGCAGAGGAUCAGUGUGAAGGUCAGACAGCAGCGCAGUGACAGAGUGAGGAAGAAAGCGCCCACAGUUUCACGUCUGCACAUCAAAGUCAGUGCCGGGCUCUUAUUGUGGCGGGGUGAGUGCUGCUUUUAUUGCAGUGGUCUGAGUCCCGUGACAGGCUCCUCACACUCUGAGUGCACAUCCUCAGUGGGAGUUCACAGCCUUCAGGUACAAACAGAUGAGGCCCACAGUGGACGUGUGAGGAAACAUCGCCCCCUGCUGCCCAAACAGCACACCUGAAUGAGCUGGUGUUG